RNAcentral lists this ribosomal RNA (589 nucleotides) under Hanseniaspora uvarum. RNAcentral describes it as "eukaryotic LSU rRNA". It matches the Rfam family "Eukaryotic large subunit ribosomal RNA", at positions 52 to 654 of the family's 3401-position model. The record is from RNAcentral. Lineage: Eukaryota; Fungi; Ascomycota; Saccharomycetes; Saccharomycodales; Saccharomycodaceae.
GGAGGAAAAGAAACCAACUGGGAUUACCUUUAGUAACGGCGAGUGAAGCGGUAAAAGCUCAAAUUUGAAAUCUGGUACUUUCAGUGCCCGAGUUGUAAUUUGUAGAAUUUGUCUUUGAUUAGGUCCUUGUCUAUGUUCCUUGGAACAGGACGUCAUAGAGGGUGAGAAUCCCGUUUGGCGAGGAUACCUUUUCUCUGUAAGACUUUUUCGAAGAGUCGAGUUGUUUGGGAAUGCAGCUCAAAGUGGGUGGUAAAUUCCAUCUAAAGCUAAAUAUUGGCGAGAGACCGAUAGCGAACAAGUACAGUGAUGGAAAGAUGAAAAGAACUUUGAAAAGAGAGUGAAAAAGUACGUGAAAUUGUUGAAAGGGAAGGGCAUUUGAUCAGACAUGGUGUUUUUUGCAUGCACUCGCCUCUCGUGGGCUUGGGCCUCUCAAAAAUUUCACUGGGCCAACAUCAAUUCUGGCAGCAGGAUAAAUCAUUAAGAAUGUAGCUACUUCGGUAGUGUUAUAGCUUUUUGGAAUACUGUUAGCCGGGAUUGAGGACUGCGCUUCGGCAAGGAUGUUGGCAUAAUGGUUAAAUGCCGCCCGUCU